Molecule: ribosomal RNA, 449 nt
Filed under: uncultured bacterium
Lineage: Bacteria
Description: bacterial SSU rRNA
Rfam family: Bacterial small subunit ribosomal RNA
Source: RNAcentral
UUCCAGACUCCUACGGGAGGCAGCAGUGGGGGAUAUUGCACAAUGGGGGAAACCCUGAUGCAGCGACGCCGCGUGUGGGAAGACGGUCCUCUGGAUUGUAAACCACUGUCCCCAGGGACGAAGAUGACGGUACCUGGGGAGGAAGCUCCGGCUAACUACGUGCCAGCAGCCGCGGUAAUACGUAGGUGGCAAGCGUUGUCCGGAUUUACUGGGUGUAAAGGGCGUGCAGCCGGAGAGACAAGUCAGAUGUGAAAUCCACGGGCUCAACCCGUGAACUGCAUUUGAAACUGUUUCCCUUGAGUGUCGGAGAGGUAAUCGGAAUUCCUUGUGUAGCGGUGAAAUGCGUAGAUAUAAGGAAGAACACCAGUGGCGAAGGCGGAUUACUGGACGAUAACUGACGGUGAGGCGCGAAAGCGUGGGGAGCAAACAGGAUUAGAUACCCGCGUACG